Molecule: long non-coding RNA, 1580 nt
Filed under: Pollicipes pollicipes
Lineage: Eukaryota; Metazoa; Arthropoda; Thecostraca; Pollicipedomorpha; Pollicipedidae
Description: uncharacterized LOC119102139
Source: RNAcentral
UUAACAAGGUCACACCGCCCCGGCACCGGCAAACCUCAGAGCGCAGGGAGCAGGACUCUGGCGAACUGCGAGGCCCUCUGGAGGUCGACCCAGUGUGACCGCGCCUGCGGGGUCAAGCCAGGUCGACGUGCCGGCGGGUCCGAGAAUGCCAAAGCUGGGCUAGGGGCGUGGCACUGCCGCGCCCCGCACGUGAUAUGGCCGCGCUGUCGGCAGUGCGUCUGGCGGCGGCUCCUCCCGUGACAUCUGUGAUAUGGCACACCGUGUGCGGCAGUGCAGUAGGGUUCACUGUGUACGAUCCAUACGUUUACCGCUUAAGCGUUUGUUGACAUUGUUUUUAGUUCAAAACGGUCGGGUGUGUGGUGUAUUCUGUCGAGUUUUGGGCUUGCGUUUUGUGCCAAUGAGUUCGUGGCGCCCAUGGCGCCUGUGAAGUUCCCUCUCUGACGGUAUAUCCCCACAGCACUUAAGCUGUGAGCGCGGGGGGGGGGGGCAAAGUUGGAACGGGAAGUGGCUUUGGCGACGUAGCCCUGGCACUGGAGAAUCUAAGGUUGAAUGUAUGUUGUUGUGUGGCAGGCUGUCACGGCGCUGUAUGUUGUGUGGCAGGCUGUCACGGCGCUGUCAUUCAGGAGGGAUUCCGCGCCAGCCUCAACCACUGUCUUAGUUUCAGCUUCCGAUGGUUCAUCUCCAGCCGCGCAUACUUGGAUAGGCACCAGGCAUGGGACAGUGUUCAUGACUUGUUCGCUUGAUAUAAUGUGCGUUUUGUAUGACGUAGUAUCAGAACGGCUCACCAAGGGCGCCGUUCCGACAAUGCGCCAAAUGUUGGCUAGCGCCCAUCGCUCUGCCCCACCUGCAUAAUUGCGGCAUUCUGAAAUGAUCAGUGCUGUCGAUGCUCACACCGCCACCACCCAGCUUUCGCACGCCCUGUUGGCCAUCUUUGUGUGCUCCCGUUGCCUGUGCGGCACCAACCUCGCCUCCACCCCUCAUCCUAGGGCGAGUCGGCAGUCCCUACCGCUGCCCCAGCUAGCUCCCUCCAGCUUUAGAUUCUCUGCCGCUCCCUCAGCUGGCCUCUUUCAACCACAGAUUCUCUGCCUCUGCCUCAGCUGACCUUCUCUAGCCCCAAACUCUCUCUAACGCUGCCUCAGCUGGUCUCUUUCAACUUCAGACUCUCUACCGCUGCCUCAGCUGCCCUCCUCCACCUCCAGACCCUCAGCCGCUGCCUCAGCUGCCCUCCUCCAUCUCCAGACUCUCUACCGCUGCCUCAGCCGCCCUCCCCCACCUUCAGACUCCCUACCGCUGCCCCAGCUGCUCUCUUCCACCUCCAGACUCUCUUCCGUUGCCUCAGCUGGUCUCCUUCACCUCUUGACUCUCAACCGCUGCCUCAGCUGUUCUCUCCCAACUUCAGACUCUCUGCUGUUGCCUCGGUAGGCCUCCCCCAGCCCCAGACUCCUGAAGGGCGCCACUGGUGGUGCAGCGCGGUGCUCUAGCCUGGCGUUUCUCUAUCGGGGCGCGCCAGAUCCCACCUGGGCGUGGUUCGGUGUCGCAGCUGCUCGUCCAGCGUUAAGAAUACAGUUUAAAUGGCUGGC